This 253-nucleotide ribosomal RNA is filed under the name uncultured bacterium. RNAcentral describes it as "partial 16S ribosomal RNA". It matches the Rfam family "Bacterial small subunit ribosomal RNA", at positions 524 to 776 of the family's 1533-position model. The record is from RNAcentral.
UACGUAGGGGGCAAGCGUUGUCCGGAUUCAUUGGGCGUAAAGAGCGUGUAGGCGGCCAUGUAGGUCCGUUGUGAAAACUGGAGGCUUAACCUCCAGACGUCGAUGGAAACCACAUGGCUAGAGUCCGGAAGAGGAGAGUGGAAUUCCUGGUGUAGCGGUGAAAUGCGCAGAAAUCAGGAAGAACACCCGUGGCGAAGGCGGCUCUCUGGGACGGUACUGGCGCUGAGACGCGAAAGCAUGGGGAGCGAACAGG